GGGGCCCAGAGCGCGAACUUACAAUGCCGGCAACGGCGAUAAGGGGACCUCGAGUGCCAGGUUACAAAUCUGGCUGUCGUGAUGCCUAAAAAGCAUUGCAUAGCAAGGGCCGGGCAAGACCGGUGCCAGCCGCCGCGGUAACACCGGCGGCUCGAGUGGUAACCGUUAUUAUUGGGUCUAAAGGGUCUGUAGCCGGCCGGAUAAGUCUCUUGGGAAAUCUGGCAGCUUAACUGUCAGGCUUUCAGGAGAUACUGUCUGGCUCGAGGCCGGGAGAGGUGAGAGGUACUUCAGGGGUAGGGGUGAAAUCUUGUAAUCCUUGAAGGACCACCAGUGGCGAAGGCGUCUCACCAGAACGGACCUGACGGCAAGGGACGAAAGCUAGGGGCACGAACCGGAUUAGAUACCCGGGUAGUCCUAGCCGUAAACGAUACUCGCUAGGUGUCGGCCACGGUGCGACCGUUGUCGGUGCCGUAGGGAAGCCGUGAAGCGAGCCACCUGGGAAGUACGGCCGCAAGGCUGAAACUUAAAGAAUUGGCGGGGGAGCACACACGGGUGGAGCUUGGG
RNAcentral lists this ribosomal RNA (564 nucleotides) under bacterium enrichment culture clone MST786A-15.fa. RNAcentral describes it as "bacterial SSU rRNA". It matches the Rfam family "Archaeal small subunit ribosomal RNA", at positions 327 to 899 of the family's 1478-position model. The record is from RNAcentral.